CUCUAUGGCCAUGCCACCCUGAACAAGCCCAAUCCCGUCUGAUCUUGGAAGCUAAGCAGGGUCGGGCCUGAUUAGUAUUUGGAUGGGAGACCACCAAGGAAGACCAGGUGCUGUAGGAG
RNAcentral lists this ribosomal RNA (119 nucleotides) under Pteropus alecto (black flying fox). The record is from RNAcentral. Lineage: Eukaryota; Metazoa; Chordata; Mammalia; Chiroptera; Pteropodidae.